AGUCACUGCUAUCGGUGUUCGACUAAGCCAUGCGAGUCAAAUGUUCUUCGUGAACAUGGCGUACUGCUCAGUAACACGUGGAUAACCUGCCCUUGGGUCUGGCAUAACCCCGGGAAACUGGGGAUAAUUCCGGAUAGAUCAUAGAUGCUGGAAUGCGCUGUGAUCCAAAGCUAUUGUGCCUAAGGAUGGGUCUGCGGUCUAUCAGGUUGUAGUGGGUGUAAUGUACCUACUAGCCUACGACGGAUACGGGUUGUGGGAGCAAGAGCCCGGAGAUGGAUUCUGAGACAUGAAUCCAGGCCCUACGGGGCGCAGCAGGCGCGAAAACUUUACAAUGCGGGGAACCGCGAUAAGGGGACACCGAGUGCCAGCAUCCUAUGUUGGCUGUCCAUAUGUCUAAAUCACAUGUGUUAGCAAGGGCCGGGCAGGACCGGUGCCAGCCGCCGCGGUAACACCGGCGGCCCGAGUGGUGGCCACUAUUAUUGGGUCUAAAGGGUCCGUAGCCGGUUUGGUCAGUCUUCCGGGAAAUCUGACGGCUUAACCGUUAGGCUUUCGGGGGAUACUACCAGGCUUGGGACCGGGAGAGGUAAGAGGUACUACGGGGGUAGGAGUGAAAUCUUGUAAUCCCUGUGGGACCACCAGUGGCGAAGGCGUCUUACCAGAACGGGUCCGACGGUGANGGACGAAAGCUAAAAGCACGAACCGGAUUAGAUACCCGGGUAGUCCCAGCUGUAAACUAUGCUCGCUAGGUGUCAGNAGACGNUGCGACCGUUUCUGAUGCCGCAGAAAAGCCNUAAAGCGAA
Molecule: ribosomal RNA, 800 nt
Filed under: uncultured archaeon
Lineage: Archaea
Description: bacterial SSU rRNA
Rfam family: Archaeal small subunit ribosomal RNA
Source: RNAcentral